ACAAGCGGUGGAGCAUGUGGUUUAAUUCGACGAUACGCGAAGAACCUUACCUGGCCUUGACAUACUAAAAAGCUUUAAGAGAUUAGAGUGUGCUAGCUUGCUAGAAUUUAGAUACAGGUGCUGCACGGCUGUCGUCAGCUCGUGUCGUGAGAUGUUGGGUUAAGUCCCGCAACGAGCGCAACCCUCGUGUUUAGUUGCUAACAGUUCGGCUGAGAACUCUAAACAGACUGCCUACGCAAGUAGGAGGAAGGUGAGGACGACGUCAAGUCAUCAUGGCCCUUACGGCCAGGGCUACACACGUGCUACAAUGGGGUAUACAAAGAGCAGCGAUACGGUGACGUGGAGCAAAUCUAGAAAAUGCCUCUCAGUUCGGAUUGUAGUCUGCAACUCGACUACAUGAAGUUGGAAUCGCUAGUAAUCGUAGAUCAGCAAUGCUACGGUGAAUACGUUCCCGGGUCUU
Molecule: ribosomal RNA, 460 nt
Filed under: uncultured Arcobacter sp.
Lineage: Bacteria; Pseudomonadati; Campylobacterota; Epsilonproteobacteria; Campylobacterales; Arcobacteraceae
Description: bacterial SSU rRNA
Rfam family: Bacterial small subunit ribosomal RNA
Source: RNAcentral